Non-coding RNA from Haemonchus placei, 75 nucleotides. NCBI's taxonomy places the organism in Eukaryota, Metazoa, Nematoda, Chromadorea, Rhabditida, Trichostrongylidae. The record is from Rfam.
GGCACAAACUUGGAGUAGAAUAGUUGGGUAUGGUCAGCUGAUCCUACUAAUCUACACUGCUUCAAGUUUGAGCUC